AAUGAACGCUGGCGGCAGGCCUAACACAUGCAAGUCGAACGAGAACAGCGGGCCGCGUGGCGCAUGGCUGCGUAACGGGGGGGAGGCGGCCCAUAUGUUGGGAAUAACUCGCCGGAAGGGGUGCAAAUACGGGAAAGGGUGCUAGGACCAAAGAACGAUGGCAGACGAAAGGGGCGGCGCUUGAGUAGCCUGUUCGUAGGGUAAAACCAGAUGGGAUCGGCUAGUAAGUGGGGGAACGGGUGACCUAGGCGACGAACCCUAGCUGGUCUGAGAGGAUGACCAGCCACACUGGAACUGAGACACGGACCAGACUCCUACGGGAGGCAGCAGUGGGGAAUAUUGCACAAUGGGCGAAAGCCUGAUGCAGCCAUGCCGCGUGUAGGAAGAAGGCCUUCGGGUUGUAAAGUACUUUCAGCGGUGAGGAAGGGAGUAAAGUUAAUACCUUUGCUCAUUGACGUUACCCGCAGAAGAAGCACCGGCUAACUCCGUG
This 490-nucleotide ribosomal RNA is filed under the name uncultured bacterium. RNAcentral's name for it is "partial 16S ribosomal RNA". It matches the Rfam family "Bacterial small subunit ribosomal RNA", at positions 29 to 507 of the family's 1533-position model. The record is from RNAcentral.